This 496-nucleotide ribosomal RNA is filed under the name Psammodromus algirus. Its description in RNAcentral is "partial 16S ribosomal RNA". It matches the Rfam family "Bacterial large subunit ribosomal RNA", at positions 1912 to 2606 of the family's 2925-position model. The record is from RNAcentral. Lineage: Eukaryota; Metazoa; Chordata; Lepidosauria; Squamata; Lacertidae.
GUGAUAUUUUAAACGGCCGCGGUAUCCUAACCGUGCAAAGGUAGCAUAAUCACUUGUCCCCUAAAUAGGGACUGGAAUGAACGGCUACAUGAAGACUUUACUGUCUCUUGCUGCUAGUCAAUGAAACUGAUCUCCCAGUACAAAAGCUGGAAUAACCUCAUAAGACAAAAAGACCCUGUGGAGCUUUUAAACCAAGUACACCAAAAUGUUCUAUCACGGUUUUUAGUUGGGGCGACUUCGGAACAAAAUAAAACUUCCGAAACCAUGGAAUCAUACCCAUAUUUAAGGCCAACACGCCAAGAUUAGUCAUCUACUUGACCCAGUUUACCACAUACUGAUCAAUGAACCAAGUUACCCCAGGGAUAACAGCGCCAUCUUCUUUUAGAGUCCAUAUCGACAAGAAGGUUUACGACCUCGAUGUUGGAUCAGGACACCCAAAUAGUGCAGCCGCUAUUAAAGGUUCGUUUGUUCAACGAUUAAUAGUCCUACGUGAUCU